AUUGAACGCUGGCGGCAGGCCUAACACAUGCAAGUCGAGCGGCAGAAGAGUGCUUGCUUGUGCUUACAGCUGCCGACGGGCGAGUGAUGCCUAGGAAUAUCCCUGGUAGCUGUUUCUAACGUCAGGACGCGGGCACUCAUACCGCAUUCGUCCAGACGGCGUACGUGGGAGAUCAUCGGAUCUUCCGCUCUCAGACGAUCCAAGGUGGGAUUAGCUAGUUGGGGGGGUAAAGGCCUACCAAGGCGACGAUCCGUAACUGGUCUGAGAGGAUGAUCAGUCACACUGGAACUGAGACACGGUCCAGACUCCUACGGGAGGCAGCAGUGGGGAAUAUUGGACAAAGGGCGAAAGCCUGAUCCAGCCGUGCCGCGUGUGUGAAGAAGGCCUUCGGAUUGUAAAGCACUUUUGGUGGGGAAGAAAAGCAGUAGGUUAAUACCUUGCUGUUUUGACGUUACCAACAGAAUAAGCACCGGCUAACUUCGUG
Molecule: ribosomal RNA, 484 nt
Filed under: uncultured bacterium
Lineage: Bacteria
Description: partial 16S ribosomal RNA
Rfam family: Bacterial small subunit ribosomal RNA
Source: RNAcentral